AUGUUGGCAAGGGCGAUGGCCGAGGAAGCCAGCGUGCCCUUCUUUGCGUGCAGCGGCAGCGAAUUCAACGACGACUAUGUGUUCGUUGGGGCAAAAAGAGUGAGGGCGCUCUUCGCCGCGGCGAAGAAACGAGCUCCUUGCAUAGUGUUCAUCGAUGAGAUCGACGCCAUCGCUGGGAGUGGGAGCAGGAACUCAUAUGGUUCAGACUCGCAGAUACAUACCCUGAACCAGCUGCUAGUUGAGCUAGAUGGCUUCGAGCAGAAUGACGGGGUUAAUCGUGGUCGCGGCGACCAACAUCCCCGAGUCAUCACUGGAUAA
This 318-nucleotide ribosomal RNA is filed under the name Triticum aestivum (bread wheat). Its description in RNAcentral is "partial small subunit ribosomal RNA". The record is from RNAcentral. Lineage: Eukaryota; Viridiplantae; Streptophyta; Magnoliopsida; Poales; Poaceae.